This 468-nucleotide ribosomal RNA is filed under the name uncultured bacterium. RNAcentral describes it as "partial 16S ribosomal RNA". It matches the Rfam family "Bacterial small subunit ribosomal RNA", at positions 355 to 815 of the family's 1533-position model. The record is from RNAcentral.
UGGGGAAUAUUGCACAAUGGGCGCAAGCCUGAUGCAGCCAUGCCGCGUGUGUGAAGAAGGCCUUCGGGUUGUAAAGCACUUUCAGCGAGGAGGAAGGUGGUGAACUUAAUACGUUCAUCAAUUGACGUUACUCGCAGAAGAAGCACCGGCUAACUCCGUGCCAGCAGCCGCGGUAAUACGGAGGGUGCAAGCGUUAAUCGGAAUUACUGGGCGUAAAGCGCACGCAGGCGGUUUGUUAAGUCAGAUGUGAAAUCCCCGGGCUCAACCUGGGAACUGCAUUUGAAACUGGCAAGCUAGAGUCUCGUAGAGGGGGGUAGAAUUCCAGGUGUAGCGGUGAAAUGCGUAGAGAUCUGGAGGAAUACCGGUGGCGAAGGCGGCCCCCUGGACGAAGACUGACGCUCAGGUGCGAAAGCGUGGGGAGCAAACAGAUUAGAUACCCUGGUAGUCCACGCUGUAAAACGAUGUCGA